This 407-nucleotide ribosomal RNA is filed under the name uncultured bacterium. RNAcentral describes it as "bacterial SSU rRNA". It matches the Rfam family "Bacterial small subunit ribosomal RNA", at positions 28 to 424 of the family's 1533-position model. The record is from RNAcentral.
GACGAACGCUGGCGGCGUGCCUAAUACAUGCAAGUAGAACGCUGAAGGGAGGAGCUUGCUCUUCUUGGAUGAGUUGCGAACGGGUGAGUAACGCGUAGGUAACCUGCCUGGUAGCGGGGGAUAACUAUUGGAAACGAUAGCUAAUACCGCAUAAAAUGGAUUAUCGUAUGAUAAUCAAUUGAAAGGUGCAAAUGCAUCACUACCAGAUGGACCUGCGUUGUAUUAGCUAGUUGGUGGGGUAACGGCUCACCAAGGCGACGAUACAUAGCCGACCUGAGAGGGUGAUCGGCCACACUGGGACUGAGACACGGCCCAGACUCCUACGGGAGGCAGCAGUAGGGAAUCUUCGGCAAUGGACGGAAGUCUGACCGAGCAACGCCGCGUGAGUGAAGAAGGUUUUCUUGAUC